RNAcentral lists this long non-coding RNA (273 nucleotides) under Malus domestica (apple). RNAcentral describes it as "long non-coding RNA (MDOM_LNC003846)". Lineage: Eukaryota; Viridiplantae; Streptophyta; Magnoliopsida; Rosales; Rosaceae. The record is from RNAcentral.
UCUUGCUUUAUUUGAUAUGCAUGAAAAUGAAGUAGUUGGGUCCAACGCCCCUAAGACCACACGCCUUAAUGUGAUUAAACGCGUAACUAAAAUCAAUCACCAUUCCUAGACCGAGAUUCAACACAAGGCUCGUGUUGAAUCUAAACAAAGGUUCAUAAUCAUCCUAAGGCCCUAAGGCAACUAUAUAGUCCAUCAAAUGAAUGCAAAAUUUUAUGUUAGUAGUAUCAUAUACUCUUGCUUUAAAAACCGUUUUAUAAGCAUAGUGGGAGUAUU